GGGGCUGUGGGGUAGCCUGGCAACCUGCGACCUUGGGGUGGUCGUGACCCGAGUUCGAAUCUCGGCAGCCCCA
This 73-nucleotide transfer RNA is filed under the name Microcaldota archaeon. Its description in RNAcentral is "tRNA-Pro". It matches the Rfam family "tRNA". From Rfam's summary of the family: Transfer RNA (tRNA) molecules are approximately 80 nucleotides in length. Their secondary structure includes four short double-helical elements and three loops (D, anti-codon, and T loops). The record is from RNAcentral. Lineage: Archaea; Nanobdellati; Microcaldota.